AACAAAGGAUGAGGCUUGUGAAUUAGCCAGAACAAACAUAUGACAAAGAUUCCGCUCGAUAUUUUCGUGGAUAGGAUCGCACGGGCUCGAUCGUACAUUGGAUUGUCAUAUUGAAAUGACGCUCGAGUAUGCUCCCUAGGCGUAGCGAACUACAAGGCUUGUUGAAGCAUACCGAUGACAUAUAUCGAGACUGUCCUCUGUAAAAACGACCGUGAACAUAUGAAUCCACUAGAUGUCGAACCCCAACCUCACAACAUGCAUCUGUUGGAAGAUUGUCCUAUAAGUAACUACUUGAAUUCCCACAUCAGAACUUUUGAAAUUUUCUGGUCAUGCAAUCGGGUCCACGGAUACAAGGUGUAAAAUCCAUCACCCAACUCCUAGCAAUAACACUAACCCGUCGAGUGUAUCACAUACGUCAACACAUAACCAGAGAUCUCGGAAACUCAUCUAU
Molecule: long non-coding RNA, 451 nt
Filed under: Hordeum vulgare
Lineage: Eukaryota; Viridiplantae; Streptophyta; Magnoliopsida; Poales; Poaceae
Description: long non-coding RNA (HVUL_LNC018632)
Source: RNAcentral